AGUUCCAUAGGCAAGUCUGGUUGAAGCCGUCAGCCCCUCAAGCUGAAGUCGCUGGUUCAAAUCCGGCUGGGACUU
This 75-nucleotide transfer RNA is filed under the name Symploca sp. SIO2E9. RNAcentral's name for it is "tRNA-Glu". It matches the Rfam family "tRNA". Rfam says of the family: Transfer RNA (tRNA) molecules are approximately 80 nucleotides in length. Their secondary structure includes four short double-helical elements and three loops (D, anti-codon, and T loops). Lineage: Bacteria; Bacillati; Cyanobacteriota; Cyanophyceae; Coleofasciculales; Coleofasciculaceae. The record is from RNAcentral.